CCUACGGGUGGCAGCAGUGGGGAAUCUUCCGCAAUGGGCGCAAGCCUGACGGAGCAAUGCCGCGUGAACGAAGAAGGUCUUCGGAUUGUAAAGCUCUGUUCUUAUCGAAGAGAGGGUAUAGAGUGGAAAAUGAUAUACUAGGACGGUCGAUGAGGAAGAAGCCCCGGCUAACUACGUCCCAGCAGCCGCGGUAAUACGUAGGGGGCGAGCGUUGUCCGGAAUCAUUGGGCGUAAAGGGGGCGUAGGCGGUAAUAUAAGUCAGAUGUGAAAGGUGGGGGCUCAACCCCUCGAGUGCAACUGAUACUGUAGAACUUGAGUGUGAGAGAGGGAAGCGGAAUUCCUAGUGUAGCGGUGAAAUGCGUAGAUAUUAGGAGGAACACCAGUGGCGAAGGCGGCUUUCUGGCUCGUAACUGACGCUGAUGCGCGAAAGCGUGGGGAGCAAACAGGAUUAGAUACCCUAGUAGUC
This 466-nucleotide ribosomal RNA is filed under the name uncultured bacterium. RNAcentral describes it as "partial 16S ribosomal RNA". It matches the Rfam family "Bacterial small subunit ribosomal RNA", at positions 338 to 795 of the family's 1533-position model. The record is from RNAcentral.